CGUUCCCGGGCCUUGUACACACCGCCCGUCACACCAUGGGAGUUGGUUUUACCCGAAGCCGGUGGGCUAACCGCAAGGAGGCAGCCGACCACGGUAAGGUCAGCGACUGGGUG
RNAcentral lists this ribosomal RNA (113 nucleotides) under uncultured bacterium. RNAcentral's name for it is "partial 16S ribosomal RNA". It matches the Rfam family "Bacterial small subunit ribosomal RNA", at positions 1369 to 1482 of the family's 1533-position model. The record is from RNAcentral.